AACGCACCUUGCGCUCCUUGGUAUUCCGAGGAGCAUGCCUGUUUGAGUGUCAUGAAAUUCUCAACCCACCCUUCUGCUUUUUUGUAGUGGGGCUUGGGCUUGGAUUUGGGGGCUUUACCUGCCGGUCAACCUUGCUUGAUCGGCUCCCCUUGAAGGCAUUAGCCCAGGACCUUUGCUUCCCGGUCAGUUCACGGUGUGAUAGUCUAUCAACGCCAUGUGAGGGCCGUGGUUUUUUAGGUGUCCGGAGGGCUCUCCAACAAAAAAGUCUUACUCUUGAUCUGACCUCAAAUCAGGCAGGACUACCCGCUGAACUUAA
RNAcentral lists this unclassified non-coding RNA (316 nucleotides) under uncultured fungus. Its description in RNAcentral is "sequence contains ITS2". The stretch from base 1 to 52 matches the Rfam family "5.8S ribosomal RNA", at positions 103 to 154 of the family's 154-position model. Lineage: Eukaryota; Fungi. The record is from RNAcentral.